This 440-nucleotide ribosomal RNA is filed under the name uncultured bacterium. Its description in RNAcentral is "partial 16S ribosomal RNA". It matches the Rfam family "Bacterial small subunit ribosomal RNA", at positions 338 to 795 of the family's 1533-position model. The record is from RNAcentral.
CCUACGAGAGGCAGCAGUGGGGAAUAUUGCACAAUGGGGGCAACCCUGAUGCAGCGACGCCGCGUGAGUGAAGAAGUAAUUCGUUAUGUAAAGCUCUAUCAGCAGGGAAGAAAAUGACGGUACCUGAGUAAGAAGCCCCGGCUAACUACGUGCCAGCAGCCGCGGUAAUACGUAGGGGGCAAUCGUUAUCCGGAUUUACUGGGUGUAAAGGGAGCGUAGACGGAAGUGCAAGUCUGGAGUGAAAGGCGGGGGCGCAACCGCCAGACUGCUCUGGAAACUGGAAGGCUGGAGUGCAGGAGAGGUAAGUGGAAUUCGUAGUGUAGCGGUGAAAUGCGUAGAUAUUAGGAGGAACACCAGUGGCGAAGGCGGCUUACUGGACUGUAACUGACGUUGAGGCUCGAAAGCGUGGGGAGCAAACAGGAUUAGAUACCCCUGUAGUC